This 254-nucleotide ribosomal RNA is filed under the name uncultured bacterium. Its description in RNAcentral is "partial 16S ribosomal RNA". It matches the Rfam family "Bacterial small subunit ribosomal RNA", at positions 524 to 776 of the family's 1533-position model. The record is from RNAcentral.
UACGUAGGGGGCAAGCGUUGUCCGGAUUUAUUGGGCGUAAAAGGCUUGUAGGUGGCCACGCCAAGUCGGAUGUGAAAUCUCCCGGCUCAACUGGGAGGGGUCAUUCGAUACUGGCGGGCUCGAGGCCGGUAGGGGGAAGUGGAAUUCCCGGUGUAGUGGUGGAAUGCGUAGAUAUCGGGAGGAACACCGGUGGCGAAGGCGGGUCUCUGGGCCGAUACUGACGCUGAGGAGCGAAAGCGUGGGGAGCGAACAGG